CACCGUAAGUUCGCGAUAAGGUGUGCCGCAGUAAUGCGGUCUCAGCAAAGAGUCCCUCCCGACUGUUUACCAAAAACACAGCACUUUGCCAACUCGUAAGAGGAAGUAUAAGGUGUGACGCCUGCCCGGUGCUCGAAGGUUAAGAGGAUGCGUCAGUCGCAAGAUGAAGCGUUGAAUUGAAGCCCGAGUAAACGGCGGCCGUAACUAUAACGGUCCUAAGGUAGCGAAAUUCCUUGUCGGUUAAAUACCGACCUGCAUGAAUGGCGUAACGAGAUGGGAGCUGUCUCAACCAGAGAUUCAGUGAAAUUGUAGUGGAGGUGAAAAUUCCUCCUACCCGCGGCAAGACGGAGAGACCCCGUGGACCUUUACUACAACUUAGCACUGCUAACGGGAAU
RNAcentral lists this ribosomal RNA (395 nucleotides) under Helicobacter pylori. RNAcentral's name for it is "partial 23S ribosomal RNA". It matches the Rfam family "Bacterial large subunit ribosomal RNA", at positions 1726 to 2130 of the family's 2925-position model. The record is from RNAcentral. Lineage: Bacteria; Pseudomonadati; Campylobacterota; Epsilonproteobacteria; Campylobacterales; Helicobacteraceae.